This 164-nucleotide ribosomal RNA is filed under the name uncultured bacterium. Its description in RNAcentral is "partial 16S ribosomal RNA". It matches the Rfam family "Bacterial small subunit ribosomal RNA", at positions 355 to 511 of the family's 1533-position model. The record is from RNAcentral.
UAGGGAAUCUUCGGCAAUGGACGAAAGUCUGACCGAGCAACGCCGCGUGAGUGAAGAAGGUUUUCGGAUCGUAAAACUCUGUUGUUAGAGAAGAACAAGGGUGAGAGUAACUGUUCACCCCUUGACGGUAUCUAACCAGAAAGCCACGGCUAACUACGNGCCAG